This is a transfer RNA of 73 nucleotides. It matches the Rfam family "tRNA". From Rfam's summary of the family: Transfer RNA (tRNA) molecules are approximately 80 nucleotides in length. Their secondary structure includes four short double-helical elements and three loops (D, anti-codon, and T loops). Further hydrogen bonds mediate the characteristic L-shaped molecular structure. tRNAs have two regions of fundamental functional importance: the anti-codon, which is responsible for specific mRNA codon recognition, and the 3' end, to which the tRNAs corresponding amino acid is attached (by aminoacyl-tRNA synthetases). tRNAs cope with the degeneracy of the genetic code in two manners: having more than one tRNA (with a specific anti-codon) for a particular amino acid; and 'wobble' base-pairing, i.e. permitting non-standard base-pairing at the 3rd anti-codon position. The record is from Rfam.
GGGGAUGUAGCUCAAACGGUAGAGCGCUCGCUUUGCAUGCCAGAGGUAAGAGGUUCGAUACCCCGCAUCUCCA